CACAGAUCUCUCAUAUCCACACCAAUGAAGAAAGCAAAUCCAGGGCAAGCCACAUCCAAGGCAUCCCCUAUAGAUUUCCUGUUGGUCAUAGUGAAGGCUCACCACAUUCUACGUGACAGUUGUGACAAUGUGGCAAUGGAUACAUUCAUAAAUAGCCUGUGCAUAUGUGUGCACAGGUUCCCCAGGCCAAAGGCAGAAGACCUCUCCCAUCCCCCUGCCCCUCGCUCAAAGACUGUUUCCCCAGUGGAGCCUGGCAAGGCCUAAUGUGCCUCCCCCAGCAUGUUAACGUCCACCUGUGGUCAUCUCAGGGAGGAGAGAGGUGGGUGAGUAUAACAGGGAGGGUUGGGAGGUGGUGGCCAGGGU
RNAcentral lists this long non-coding RNA (363 nucleotides) under Ictidomys tridecemlineatus (thirteen-lined ground squirrel). RNAcentral's name for it is "lncRNA (ENSSTOG00000034401.1)". Lineage: Eukaryota; Metazoa; Chordata; Mammalia; Rodentia; Sciuridae. The record is from RNAcentral.